RNAcentral lists this transfer RNA (243 nucleotides) under Pneumocystis jirovecii. RNAcentral describes it as "tRNA-Pseudo(TAT)". The record is from RNAcentral. Lineage: Eukaryota; Fungi; Ascomycota; Pneumocystomycetes; Pneumocystales; Pneumocystaceae.
AAUAUUAUUUUUUAAUAAAAAUAAUUUUUUAUAUUAAAAUAUAAAUAAUAUCUUUAUAUUUACAAAUAAUAAAAAUUAAAAAAUAUUAAUUUUAUAUAAUAUAAAAUAACAUAUUUAAAUUAUAUGUAAUAAUUAAUGAAACAAACUCUAAUUUAGUAAUUUAUAAAAUUUUUAAAUCCUAUUAAAAAUUUAAAGAAAUAAAAAUAUCUAAAUAUUUACAAAUAUUAUAUUUUUUUAUAAUUA